UCAAAUUUGAAAUCUGGCGUCUUUGGCGUCCGAGUUGUAAUUUGAAGAAGGUAUCUUUGGGCCCGGCUCUUGUCUAUGUUCCUUGGAACAGGACGUCACAGAGGGUGAGAAUCCCGUGCGAUGAGAUGACCCGGGUCUGUGUAAAGUUCCUUCGACGAGUCGAGUUGUUUGGGAAUGCAGCUCUAAGUGGGUGGUAAAUUCCAUCUAAAGCUAAAUAUUGGCGAGAGACCGAUAGCGAACAAGUACAGUGAUGGAAAGAUGAAAAGAACUUUGAAAAGAGAGUGAAAAAGUACGUGAAAUUGUUGAAAGGGAAGGGCUUGAGAUCAGACUUGGUAUUUUGCAUGCUGCUCUCUCGGGGGCGGCCGCUGCGGUUUACCGGGCCAGCAUCGGUUUGGAGCGGCAGGAUAAUGGCGGAGGAAUGUGGCACGGCUUCUGCUGUGUGUUAUAGCCUCUGACGAUACUGCCAGCCUAGACCGAGGACUGCGGUUUUUACCUAGGAUGUUGGCAUAAUGAUCUUAAGUCGCCCGU
RNAcentral lists this ribosomal RNA (528 nucleotides) under Candida albicans. RNAcentral's name for it is "LSU rRNA". It matches the Rfam family "Eukaryotic large subunit ribosomal RNA", at positions 109 to 652 of the family's 3401-position model. The record is from RNAcentral. Lineage: Eukaryota; Fungi; Ascomycota; Pichiomycetes; Serinales; Debaryomycetaceae.